This 254-nucleotide ribosomal RNA is filed under the name uncultured bacterium. RNAcentral describes it as "partial 16S ribosomal RNA". It matches the Rfam family "Bacterial small subunit ribosomal RNA", at positions 524 to 776 of the family's 1533-position model. The record is from RNAcentral.
UACGUAGGGGGCGAGCGUUGUCCGGAGUACUGGCGUAAAGCGCACGCAGGCGGUCUGCUAAGUUUGGAGUGACAGUUGGUGGCUUAACUGCCAAAGUGCUUCGAAAACUGACAGACUUGAGGGCUUCAGAAGGGACACGGAAUUCCGGGUGGAGUGGUGGAAAUGCGUAGAUAUCCGGAGGAACACCAAAGGCGAAGGCAGUGUCCCUGGGAAGUACCUGACGCUCAGGUGCGAAAGCUAGGGGAGCGAACAGG